CUCAUGGCGGACACUUCAGUUCUACCAAUCUCUCAACAAGUUUCUCCAUCCGACUGACCUUGUUGGUCCUCUUUGUAACGGUGACCUCAUUCAUCUGGUUUAUGGUCAAAAGACACAUGCGAAUCAAAUUAGACUCAUCAGCCACAACAACAACGACA
Long non-coding RNA from Larimichthys crocea (large yellow croaker), 158 nucleotides. RefSeq lists it as uncharacterized. The transcript is spliced from 3 exons. The record is from RefSeq and is a predicted model, not a curated record. NCBI's taxonomy places the organism in Eukaryota, Metazoa, Chordata, Actinopteri, Sciaenidae.